Molecule: non-coding RNA, 19 nt
Filed under: Capra hircus (goat)
Lineage: Eukaryota; Metazoa; Chordata; Mammalia; Artiodactyla; Bovidae
Also listed under: 2 other names
Gene: chi-miR-193a
Source: miRBase by way of RNAcentral
AACUGGCCCACAAAGUCCC